This 63-nucleotide transfer RNA is filed under the name Pseudococculinidae sp. MNHN-IM-2013-40847. RNAcentral's name for it is "tRNA-Met". The record is from RNAcentral. Lineage: Eukaryota; Metazoa; Mollusca; Gastropoda; Lepetellida; Pseudococculinidae.
AUAAGAUAAGCUAAAUAAGCUGGUGGGUUCAUGCCCCGAUAAUGACAUUAUUUGUCUCUUAUU